AUGUGUCACGUCUGAUUUCCCUCCCCUUGUGUCUGUUGACGGUCGUUACAGUGUGUGUUGGCUCCGAUGCUGGUGCCUGUUAGCACUGUUACAUGGAUUUUAAAAGUGCUAGUCUCUCCGGUUGACUCCCUGUAUGCCAGGGCACUGGUGGCUGCCAUGACAGCUGUAUGCCAGUGUCCGUAAGGUGUCAUGCCUGGCGUAAGAAGCGGAGCUGGGGUCCCACGGGUGACAGGAAUUUCUACGGUGGUGGUGCUUCUCAUCGUGUGCUGUGUAACAUCUUGUGUGUUUCGUAGUGUGAUUUGAGUGCACUUUGGUGUGUGUGGUUGUGUGGAAGUGUGCUCUGCUCAAACUGAAUUCUGUCCUCUGCCGUUGGGAGCCUCAGCCCUGCUGGUAACAUUCUCUUUUAUUUGUUUUGAUUUAACCUCUUUGUUAUAAUUAAAAUUGUGUCUUUUCCCUUUAAGGGGAAAGAAUGAGUACUUGGUGUGUCUUUUUAAUCUUGUGUUUUUAAAUAUUUGUAUUAAUAAAAUUAUGUAACAUUUUGCAUUAUA
Misgurnus anguillicaudatus (oriental weatherfish) is the source of this 548-nucleotide non-coding RNA. Lineage: Eukaryota; Metazoa; Chordata; Actinopteri; Cypriniformes; Cobitidae. The record is from RefSeq and is a predicted model, not a curated record.